UUCUCCUACGGGAGGCAGCAGUGAGGAAUAUUGGUCAAUGGGCGCGAGCCUGAACCAGCCAAGUAGCGUGAAGGAUGACUGCCCUACGGGUUGUAAACUUCUUUUAUAAAGGAAUAAAGUGAGGCACGUGUGCCUUUUUGUAUGUACUUUAUGAAUAAGGAUCGGCUAACUCCGUGCCAGCAGCCGCGGUAAUACGGAGGAUCCGAGCGUUAUCCGGAUUUAUUGGGUUUAAAGGGAGCGUAGGUGGAUUGUUAAGUCAGUUGUGAAAGUUUGCGGCUCAACCGUAAAAUUGCAGUUGAACCUGG
RNAcentral lists this ribosomal RNA (305 nucleotides) under uncultured bacterium. RNAcentral describes it as "bacterial SSU rRNA". It matches the Rfam family "Bacterial small subunit ribosomal RNA", at positions 334 to 636 of the family's 1533-position model. The record is from RNAcentral.